GCUACCUCUUAACAAAAACUGCUGUUUCUAGACCUUUGUUUUUGGUUUUGGAUGACAAUUUUUAUUAUCAGAGUAUGAGAUAUGAAGUCUACCAGCUGGCUCGGAAAUAUUCGUUGGGCUUUUGCCAGCUCUUAUUAGAUUGUCCUCUUGAGACCUGUUUACAGAGGAAUGGCCAGAGGCCACAGGCACUGCCUCCUGAGACCAUCCACCUGAUGGGAAGAAAGCUAGAAAAGCCCAACCCUGAGAAAAAUGCUUGGGAACACUACAGCCUCACAAUUCCGAGUCCAGCAUGUGCUUCGGAGGCCAGCCUGGAGGUGACUGAUUUAUUGCUCACUGCUUUGGAAAAUCCAGUAAAAUAUGCUGAGGACAAUAUGGAACAAAAGAUGAACAAGUGCUUCCUCACAACUUGAAGCUUCUAGCGGAAGAACUUAACAAGCUCAAAGCAGAGUUUUUGGAAGACCUAAAACACGGAAACAAAAAAUAUCUGUGCUUUCAGCAAACCAUUGACAUAUCAGAUGUCAUUUCUUUUUUUCAUUAUGAGAAAGAUAAUAUUGUACAGAAGUAUUUUUCAAAGCAGCAUUAAAAUUUCUGAACUGCCAAUC
Molecule: small RNA, 602 nt
Filed under: Pan troglodytes (chimpanzee)
Lineage: Eukaryota; Metazoa; Chordata; Mammalia; Primates; Hominidae
Description: processed transcript
Source: RNAcentral